RNAcentral lists this transfer RNA (76 nucleotides) under Clostridia bacterium. Its description in RNAcentral is "tRNA-Trp". It matches the Rfam family "tRNA". From Rfam's summary of the family: Transfer RNA (tRNA) molecules are approximately 80 nucleotides in length. Their secondary structure includes four short double-helical elements and three loops (D, anti-codon, and T loops). The record is from RNAcentral. Lineage: Bacteria; Bacillati; Bacillota; Clostridia.
AGGGGUAUAGCUCAGUUGGUAGAGCAUCGGUCUCCAAAACCGAGUGCCGUGGGUUCAAGUCCUACUACCCCUGCCA